Molecule: transfer RNA, 75 nt
Filed under: Chloroflexota bacterium
Lineage: Bacteria; Bacillati; Chloroflexota
Also listed under: 2 other names
Description: Chloroflexi bacterium (sediment metagenome) tRNA-Thr
Rfam family: tRNA
About the family: Transfer RNA (tRNA) molecules are approximately 80 nucleotides in length. Their secondary structure includes four short double-helical elements and three loops (D, anti-codon, and T loops).
Source: RNAcentral
GCCGAAGUGGCGCAAUGGUAGCGCAAGCGAUUUGUAAUCGCUAGGUUGGGGGUUCGAAUCCCCCCUUCGGCUCCA